RNAcentral lists this unclassified non-coding RNA (263 nucleotides) under plant metagenome. RNAcentral describes it as "partial contains small subunit ribosomal RNA, internal transcribed spacer 1, and 5.8S ribosomal RNA". The record is from RNAcentral.
UUUCCGUAGGUGAACCUGCGGAAGGAUCAUUAUUGUAUAACCGAGGUGCGAGGGCUGUAGCUGACCCGGAAGGUCGAGCACGCAAGAGUGCCCUGUCACACAUCCAUCUCACCCCUAUGUGCACCACCGCGUGGGUCCUCCUUUGACUGGUUCGUUGGGGGGCUUACGUUUUCACACAAACUUAGUAUGCAGUGUAGCAUUUAUUGUCAGUGUUUGCGAACACGCAAUCAAUACAACUUUCAACAACGGAUCUCUUGGCUCUC